RNAcentral lists this long non-coding RNA (999 nucleotides) under Gallus gallus (chicken). The record is from RNAcentral. Lineage: Eukaryota; Metazoa; Chordata; Aves; Galliformes; Phasianidae.
UGGCAAAUGGUCAUCAGCCUCUUCAGCCCCUGAAUGUACUUCCUUUGAGUUUCAUCAUUGAGAACGUGGGCGACGUGCUUGGAGAAAAUCUUUUCACGACCCGUUCGAGCGUGGAUGCCAACCAUAGUGACACCAAUGGGCCACGGCGCGUUCCCAAUAGCCAUCUGGAGAUAGGCAUCGUUCGCCUUCACAUAUUCUCUUUGCAACAUGAAUUUAAUAAUAUCUGUUAUUGAUUCUUUGAUGUCUGCAGGAAGUGUCCUUUUCCGAAGCUUUCUGAAGAGCGGCCUCAGGUAGGACUCUGUCUGCUUCUGAGUGGCACUGUUCAGCUUUCCCUGCACUCCCCGCUUCACAUAGUCCUCUCUGGCAUUCAGCUCCUUCGCCCAAACUCCAAGAAGAAACUUCAAGAAUUUUGUGAUAAUAUCCAUGUCAUAGUGAUCAUCACCCCGUCCUAAGGACUCUCCCAAAGCCUCCAGUUCUUCAAUAGUAGUAUUCUCCUCAUGGACUUUCAAGUCAUUCUGUGAGUCAUCAUCUCCUGCUUCUUGGCCACCUACAAUUUCAUUCAAGUAUUGCUGAUCAAUCUUAUCCAAAGCAGCCUUCAGGUCAUUCCUCAGGCCCUUGUUCACUUCAGGUGCCAAAAUUUCUAUCUUCCUCAGACGCUGAAAUGCAUCAUAAUCUGUUUCUCCAAACAGUCUGACUGGCUCACCUCUCUCCCGUAACCUCCUGAUAACCUCUUGUCUGGAAAGAGUCAUUGGUAAUUUUUCUUCUGCCAGUUCAAGUUCCAGCACUGGAUUCGUUGAAGUCAGAGGCUUCUCCUCCUCUUCUUGCUGCUGCACCUUGUAGCCACAUCUCUGGAAGUAGGCCUCCUCUUCUUUUUUAGCUAACUCACUGCGUUUGAAGUAUUUCUUAUUCCCCCCCACCAGCUCCUUGUCUUCCAGCUGCUGUCGCUUGCGGCUGAUCUCCCGCUUCAGGAUAUCCAUGGCGGUAAGGCCUCCUUCGCCA